AUGGCUCUUUUCAAGGAGUUUUACUCGGGGUCCAUGAACCUUGGGCGUCUCAACUAUGGGAUCAUCACCCUCACCCCCAAGGUCCCGGGUGCCUCCGAUAUUCGCCAGUUUCGGACCAUCAUAGUGAUCAAUGUGAUAUUCCGGAUCUUGGCUAAAGGGUACGCCAAUAGGAUGACCCUUCUUGCUGACUCGGUUACCCACCCCAACCAAUCCGCCUUCAUCCAAGGCCGGUUUAUUCUGGAUGGGGUGUUGGUCUUUCACAAAGCCCUGCAUGAGGUCCGGAAUAAUCACCAUCGUGCAGUCUUUUUGAAGCUCGACUUCCACAAAGCGUAUCACAUAGUCCACUGGCCUUUCCUUUGGGAAGUUCUACUCAACAAGGAAUUCGACGACCGGUGGGUGACCAGAGUUAUGCAGCUCGUCUCCUGCGGUCAGACCGCUGUGAACAUUGACAGAGAGAUCGGCCCCUACUUCCCCACCCUAUGUGUGGUCCGUCAGGGCGACCCGUUCUCGCCGUUCUUGUUCAACAUGGUGGUUGAUGCCCUUACAGUCAUCCUAGAUAAGGCCAAAGCUACUGGCCCUAUUCACGGCAUUGUCCCGCAUCUGGUAGGAGGGGGAGGGGUCUCCCUCUUGCAAUAUGCGGAUGAUACCAUAGUCAUGGUGGAGGGCACUGUGCAAGACAUUGCCAACCUAAAGUUCCUCCUCCUAUGCUUCCAACAGAUGUCGGGGCUCACAAUCAACUUCGAUAAGAGCGAAGUGAUGAUUCUUGGGUACACUCUGGCAGAGGCUCAGGACAUCGCCCUUCUCCCCAUGGAUGUCGAGGGUGCCCCUGACUCCAUUUCUUGGCGACUGGAGCCCUCUAGCUGCUUCUCCACUAAGUCCCUCUACUCGGCCAUCGCCCCCUCGUCGGCCCCAAGCCCUUUAGCUUGCUUUGGGACAUCUGAUGCCUCUGAAAAUCAGGAUCUUCCCGGGGACGCCUUCCAUCUAGGGUUGAAGUCCUCAAGCGUAAUGGACUUGGAGAUGUGA
RNAcentral lists this ribosomal RNA (1023 nucleotides) under Triticum aestivum (bread wheat). RNAcentral describes it as "partial small subunit ribosomal RNA". The record is from RNAcentral. Lineage: Eukaryota; Viridiplantae; Streptophyta; Magnoliopsida; Poales; Poaceae.